UACGUAGGGCGCAAGCGUUAUCCGGAAUUAUUGGGCGUAAAGAGCUCGUAGGCGGUUUGUCGCGUCUGCCGUGAAAGUCCGGGGCUCAACUCCGGAUCUGCGGUGGGUACGGGCAGACUAGAGUGCGGUAGGGGAGAUUGGAAUUCCUGGUGUAGCGGUGGAAUGCGCAGAUAUCAGGAGGAACACCAAUGGCGAAGGCAGAUCUCUGGGCCGUAACUGACGCUGAGGAGCGAAAGCAUGGGGAGCGAACAGG
RNAcentral lists this ribosomal RNA (253 nucleotides) under uncultured bacterium. Its description in RNAcentral is "partial 16S ribosomal RNA". It matches the Rfam family "Bacterial small subunit ribosomal RNA", at positions 524 to 776 of the family's 1533-position model. The record is from RNAcentral.